AUAAGGGUUUUUCUUAAAACCACAUUCUUUUUAAUAAUAGUAAUA
Monodelphis domestica (gray short-tailed opossum) is the source of this 45-nucleotide non-coding RNA. The record is from Rfam. Lineage: Eukaryota; Metazoa; Chordata; Mammalia; Didelphimorphia; Didelphidae.